UUUUCCGGUUGAUCCUGCCGGACCUGACUGCUAUCGGAUUGAUACUAAGCCAUGCGAGUCAUUGUAGCAAUACAAGGCAUACGGCUCAGUAACGCGUAGUCAACCUAACCUAUGGACGGGAAUAACCUCGGGAAACUGAGAAUAAUGCCCGAUAGAACACUAUACCUGGAAUGGUUUGUGUUCCAAAUGAUUUAUCGCCAUAGGAUGGGACUGCGGCCUAUCAGUUUGUUGGUGAGGUAAUGGCCCACCAAGACUAUUACAGGUACGGGCUCUGAGAGGAGUAGCCCGGAGAUGGGUACUGAGACACGGACCCAGGCCCUAUGGGGCGCAGCAGGCGAGAAAACUUUGCAAUGUGCGAAAGCACGACAAGGUUAAUCCGAGUGAUUUGUGCUAAACGAAUCUUUUGUUAGUCCUAGAAACACUAACGAAUAAGGGGUGGGCAAGUUCUGGUGUCAGCCGCCGCGGUAAAACCAGCACCUCAAGUGGUCAGGAUGAUUAUUGGGCCUAAAGCAUCCGUAGCCGGCUCUGUAAGUUUUCGGUUAAAUCUGUACGCUUAACGUACAGGCUGCCGGGAAUACUGCAGAGCUAGGGAGUGGGAGAGGUAGACGGUACUCGGUAGGAAGUGGUAAAAUGCUUUGAUCUAUCGAUGACCACCUGUGGCGAAGGCGGUCUACCAGAACACGUCCGACGGUGAGGGAUGAAAGCUGGGGGAGCAAACCGGAUUAGAUACCCGGGUAGUCCCAGCUGUAAACUAUGCAAACUCAGUGAUGCAUUGGCUUGUGGCCAAUGCAGUGCUGCAGGGAAGCCGUUAAGUUUGCCGCCUGGGAAGUACGUACGCAAGUAUGAAACUUAAAGGAAUUGGCGGGGGAGCACCACAAGGGGUGAAGCCUGCGGUUCAAUUGGAUUCAACGCCGGAAAGGGC
This 922-nucleotide ribosomal RNA is filed under the name uncultured crenarchaeote. RNAcentral's name for it is "SSU rRNA". It matches the Rfam family "Archaeal small subunit ribosomal RNA", at positions 1 to 928 of the family's 1478-position model. The record is from RNAcentral. Lineage: Archaea; Thermoproteati; Thermoproteota.